UUACGGCCACAUCACAUCGAAACACUGGUUCCUGUAUGAUCACUGAAGUUAAGCAACGUUGAACCUAGUCAGUACUUCGAUGGGUGACCAAUUGGAAAUACCAGGUGCUGUAAG
Non-coding RNA from Acanthosepion pharaonis, 114 nucleotides. NCBI's taxonomy places the organism in Eukaryota, Metazoa, Mollusca, Cephalopoda, Sepiida, Sepiidae. The record is from the annotation of a GenBank genome assembly.